RNAcentral lists this ribosomal RNA (563 nucleotides) under Papiliotrema fusca (nom. inval.). RNAcentral's name for it is "Papiliotrema fuscus partial large subunit ribosomal RNA". It matches the Rfam family "Eukaryotic large subunit ribosomal RNA", at positions 104 to 657 of the family's 3401-position model. The record is from RNAcentral. Lineage: Eukaryota; Fungi; Basidiomycota; Tremellomycetes; Tremellales; Rhynchogastremaceae.
GAGCUCAAAUUUGAAAUCUGGCGUGCUCAGUGCGUCCGAGUUGUAAUCUAUAGAGACGUUUUCCGUGCCGGACCGUGUCCAAGUCCCUUGGAACAGGGUAUCAAAGAGGGUGACAAUCCCGUACUUGACACGACGACCGGUGCUCUGUGAUACGUCUUCUACGAGUCGAGUUGUUUGGGAAUGCAGCUCAAAAUGGGUGGUGAGUUCCAUCUAAAGCUAAAUAUUGGCGAGAGACCGAUAGCGAACAAGUACCGUGAGGGAAAGAUGAAAAGCACUUUGGAAAGAGAGUUAAACAGUACGUGAAAUUGUUGAAAGGGAAACGAUUGAAGUCAGUCGUGACUGAGAGGCUCAGCCGGUUCUGCCGGUCUAUUCCCCUCAGUCGGGUCAACAUCAGUUUUGUCCGGUGGAUAAGGGCAGCAGGAAGGUGGCACCCUCGGGUGUGUUAUAGCCUGUUGUCGCAUACAUCGGAUGAGACUGAGGAAUGCAGCUCGCCUUUAUGGCCGGGGUUCGCCCACGUCCGAGCUUAGGAUGUUGACAUAAUGGCUUUAAACGACCCGUCUUGA